This 119-nucleotide ribosomal RNA is filed under the name Klebsiella pneumoniae. RNAcentral describes it as "partial 23S ribosomal RNA". It matches the Rfam family "Bacterial large subunit ribosomal RNA", at positions 2812 to 2925 of the family's 2925-position model. Lineage: Bacteria; Pseudomonadati; Pseudomonadota; Gammaproteobacteria; Enterobacterales; Enterobacteriaceae. The record is from RNAcentral.
UCCCUGAGACUUUCAGUCUCCUGAAGGAACGUUAAAGACGAUGACGUUGAUAGGCCGGGUGUGUAAGCGCAGCGAUGCGUUGAGCUAACCGGUAAUAAUGUACCGUAGCGGUUAACCUU